AGAGUUUGAUCAUGGCUCAGGACGAACGCUGGCGGCGUGCUUAACACAUGCAAGUCGAACGAUGAAGCCCAGCUUGCUGGGUGGAAGAGUGGCGAACGGGUGAGUAACACGUGAGUAACCUGCCCCGAACUCUGGGAUAAGCGCUGGAAACGGCGUCUAAUACUGGAUAUGUCCCAUCACCGCAUGGUGUGUGGGUGGAAAGAUUUAUCGGUUCGGGAUGGACUCGCGGCCUAUCAGCUUGUUGGUGAGGUAAUGGCUCACCAAGGCGACGACGGGUAGCCGGCCUAAGGGGGUGACCGGCCACACAGGGACUGAGACACGGUCCAGACUCCUACGGGAGGCAGCAGUAAGGAAUAUUGGUCAAUGGGCGGAAGCCUGAACCAGCCAUGCCGCGUGCAGGAUGACUGCCCUAUGGGUUGUAAACUGCUUUUGUCCAGGAAUAAACCUAAAUACGUGUAUUUAGCUGAAUGUACUGGAAGAAUAAGGAUCGGCUAACUCCGUGCCAGCAGCCGCGGUAAUACGGAGGAUCCGAGCGUUAUCCGGAUUUAUUGGGUUUAAAGGGUGCGUAGGCGGCCUAUUAAGUCAGGGGUGAAAUACGGUGGCUCAACCAUCGCAGUGCCUUUGAUACUGAUGGGCUUGAAUCCAUUUGAAGUGGGCGGAAUAAGACAAGUAGCGGUGAAAUGCAUAGAUAUGUCUUAGAACUCCGAUUGCGAAGGCAGCUCACUAAGCUGGUAUUGACGCUGAUGCACGAAAGCGUGGGGAUCGAACAGGAUUAGAUACCCUGGUAGUCCACGCCCUAAACGAUGAUAACUCGAUGUUGGCGAUAGACAGCCAGCGUCUUAGCGAAAGCGUUAAGUUAUCUACCUGGGGGAGUACGCCCGCAAGGGUGAAACUCAAAGGAAUUGACGGGGGCCCGCACAAGCGGAGGAGCAUGUGGUUUAAUUCGAUGAUACGCGAGAAACCUUACCCGGGCUUGAAAGUUAGUGAAGAGACCAGAGACGGUCUCGUCCUUCGGGACACGAAACUAGGUGCUGCAUGGCUGUCGUCAGCUCGUGCCGUGAGGUGUUGGGUUAAGUCCCGCAACGAGCGCAACCCCUAUGUUUAGUUGCCAGCAUGUAAUGGUGGGGACUCUAAACAGACUGCCUGUGCAAACAGUGAGGAAGGUGGGGACGACGUCAAGUCAUCAUGGCCCUUACGUCCGGGGCUACACACGUGCUACAAUGGAUGGUACAGCGGGCAGCUACAUAGCAAUAUGAUGCUAAUCUCUAAAAGCCAUUCACAGUUCGGAUUGGGGUCUGCAACUCGACCCCAUGAAGUUGGAUUCGCUAGUAAUCGCGUAUCAGUAAUGACGCGGUGAAUACGUUCCCGGGCCUUGUACACACCGCCCGUCAAGCCAUGAAAGUUGGGGGUACCUAAAGCAUGUGACCGCAAGGGGCGUGUUAGGGUAAAACCGAUAAUUGGGGCUAAGUCGUGACAAGGUAACCGUA
Molecule: ribosomal RNA, 1487 nt
Filed under: uncultured Bacteroidota bacterium
Lineage: Bacteria; Pseudomonadati; Bacteroidota
Description: bacterial SSU rRNA
Rfam family: Bacterial small subunit ribosomal RNA
Source: RNAcentral